Non-coding RNA from Macaca mulatta (Rhesus monkey), 378 nucleotides. NCBI's taxonomy places the organism in Eukaryota, Metazoa, Chordata, Mammalia, Primates, Cercopithecidae. The record is from RefSeq and is a predicted model, not a curated record.
UAGUCCAGGUCGAAAAUGGCGGCAGUUGGUGUGUCCUGGGUUUCUUGGCUGCUGGGUCAGUCCAGCCCACAGCUGGGGUGGCCUAUGUUGAGUGGUGCCCAUGGUGAAGAGGAAUCAGCUCGCAUGUGGAAGACCCUCACCUUCUUCGUCGCGCUCCCCGGGGUGGCAGUCAGCAUGCUGAAUGUGUACCUGAAGUCACACCACGGAGAGCACGAGAGACCCGAGUUCAUCGCCUACCCUCAUCUCCGCAUCAGGACCAAGCUGUUUCCCUGGGGAGAUGGUAACCAUACUCUAUUCCAUAACCCUCAUGUGAAUCCACUUCCAACUGGCUACGAAGAUGAAUAAAGAGAAUCUGGACCACUACCUGGGCACCAGGGA